Molecule: small RNA, 877 nt
Filed under: Pongo abelii (Sumatran orangutan)
Lineage: Eukaryota; Metazoa; Chordata; Mammalia; Primates; Hominidae
Description: processed transcript
Source: RNAcentral
CGCCUUUAUGGUGGUGGAGUACGCCCAAGCUGUGGACAGCAAAUAACCCUGUACAAAGGGGAAUGGAGAUUGCCUCUAUCCACCUAGAUUCAUAAGAUGCCCUGAGGUGAUCUUGGCAUCACGGAAGGUAUGCACAUCACACCAUCAGCUUCAGAGAAUGGCAGCCAUUUAUUUGUCCCGUGGGUUUUUUUCCAGGGAACCAAUCUGCCCUUUUGAAGAAAAGACAGAGGUAGAAAGGAUGGUGGAGGACUACCUGGCAAACGGUUAUCAGGAUUCAGUGACAUUUGAUGAUGUGGCUGUGGACUUCACCCCAGAGGAGUGGGCUUUACUGGACACAACUGAGAAAUACCUCUACAGAGAUGUGAUGCUGGAGAACUACAUGAACCUGGCCUCUAAUGGGAAAUGCAACCUAGAACCAAACGGUCAUCACUUCAGCAGGGUUUUUUGAAGAAUCAAAUAUUCAGUGGGAUACAAAUGACAAGAGGCUACAGUGGAUGGAAACUCUGUGACUGUAAGAAUUGUGGCGAGGUCUUCAGGGAACAAUUUUGCCUUAAGACACACAUGAGAGCUCAGAAUGGAGGGAACACUUCUGAGGGUAAUUGUUAUGGAAAAGACACCCUCGGUGUGCACAAGGAAGCCUCUAUUGGACGGGAGCUUUCCAAAUUUAAUCCAUGUGGAAAAGUCUUCACUCUAACUCCAGGUCUUGCUGUACAUCUUGAAGUUCUCAACGCAAGACAACCCUACAAAUGUAAGGAAUGUGGAAAAGGCUUUAAGUAUUUUGCGAGCCUUGAUAAUCACAUGGGAAUCCACACUGAUGAGAAACUCUGUGAAUUUCAGGAAUGUGGGAGAGCUGUCACAGCUUCCUCACACCUAAAGC